This 571-nucleotide unclassified non-coding RNA is filed under the name Hevea brasiliensis (rubber tree). Lineage: Eukaryota; Viridiplantae; Streptophyta; Magnoliopsida; Malpighiales; Euphorbiaceae. The record is from RNAcentral.
UCUGAAUCCUCAUAGUCAAAUGAUGCAUAUCCUGACGUUAUACUCUUCAAUUCAUUGUAAAAAUCAACAACAAUUUCCUUCAAAGGUAGGCGAUACUUCAUAAAGGCUCGUUGGCUAUCAAUGAACGAAUACUCCAAUUGCUGUCCUCUCCGCUCAGAGCAAAGGGGAAUAACAGGCCCCACAUACUCACUAGGGAUGAUAAUUGUAGCUAUGACAGUAGGUUCCCAACUAGCCGUAACUCGUUGCUUGGGAUUUGAGGGUAAUGCAGCAGGAUUCUGAACUUGUACUUUGCUUCCAUCCGAAUACUCAAAAAUAUAUGGAACAGUUGGAAUAGUAGAAAUGACAUGAGCUCCAUAUUCCUGUUCAAGCCGCUGAUGAAAAACAUCCAUGUGGAGUAACCCUAAGAAACCGCACCUGAAACCCAGACCAAGUGCAGAACUACUCUCUUUAGUAACAGAGACGCUUGCAUCAUUGCAUGUCAGUCUCUCUAUUGCAUGGUUAAGUGCUUCAAAAUCAGAUCCAUCAGCUGGGUAAAGACCAGAGAAUACCAUAUGUUUUGCAGGCUUAAAAC